AAACGGAUGAGAAGAGGAAAGAGAAGGUCUACACGACAGGAUAUGUCACUGUAUGUAAGAGAAGGAUGCAGAAGUCGGCAGGGGAGGUCGGGAGAGACUACAAUGACCUGUAGAAAACCAGCUACCGGCAGAGUGCAAUGAAACCCCCAGGGAAGGGGGAAAGAACUGACAGAUGCAGACAACGGCCAGGCCCAAGGGAACGGCCCUUUUGUCAUGUAGCACAACUAAUCAGAAAACAUAAGGGAGUACCAAGAACACCCGGACCAAGGCAGAACUACGGGACCAUGUCCGGUAUCAGAGUAAGCGGUUUGCGGACUGCGAAAAAACAGUCGUGUGCAUGAGGCCUAAGAGUAUUUAGAAGAGGUUUUGCAAGUGUUUUUCUUACAGAGGCCUUGGUUGGGAUAACGCAGUUAAAAAUCUCUAUCUGCAGGAGGACAUUAAAGGGCGGCUAGGUAGGCUUAAGGUCUGUGACCGGUAGAGAUAUAAGACGGGACAAGCUAGAGGAGACAAAGGGGUUUUGGGAAAGGAAUAUUACUGGCGACGACGACCAAUUUACCGCCCAGAGAGUUGUGUAUGCCCUUGAUAGGUUUGCUUUGAUCUGGUAUUAUUAUUUGUUGGAUUACAGGGGAGGGGGGAAAUAAAAUGUAAAAAAUGCAUAGUAUUGUGUUGUCAGUUCUGAACUAAGAUGUAUCACCUGGUAUAUGUUUUCAUUGAAUGAUAUCGUAUUGUUAUCUUUUUUGUGAUCAUGACGCAAUACUAAUAAACAU
Molecule: long non-coding RNA, 767 nt
Organism: Bufo gargarizans (Asiatic toad)
Lineage: Eukaryota; Metazoa; Chordata; Amphibia; Anura; Bufonidae
Exons: 2
Source: RefSeq, a predicted model, not a curated record